CAAUCCAUGAGUAAAGUGGCGCACGGGUGAGUAACACGUGACUAACCUACCCUUGAGUGGGGAAUAACUGAGGGAAACCUUGGCUAAUACCGCAUAAUACCUACGGGUCAAAGGAGCAAUUCGCUUAAGGAGGGGGUCGCGGCAGAUUAGUUAGUUGGCGGGGUAAUGGCCCACCAAGACAGUGAUCUGUAUCCGGCCUGAGAGGGCACACGGCCACACUGGCACUGAAACACGGGCCAG
Molecule: ribosomal RNA, 240 nt
Filed under: uncultured bacterium
Lineage: Bacteria
Description: partial 16S ribosomal RNA
Rfam family: Bacterial small subunit ribosomal RNA
Source: RNAcentral